Molecule: transfer RNA, 71 nt
Filed under: Proteus mirabilis
Lineage: Bacteria; Pseudomonadati; Pseudomonadota; Gammaproteobacteria; Enterobacterales; Morganellaceae
Description: tRNA-Ala
Rfam family: tRNA
About the family: Transfer RNA (tRNA) molecules are approximately 80 nucleotides in length. Their secondary structure includes four short double-helical elements and three loops (D, anti-codon, and T loops).
Source: RNAcentral
GGGGCUAUAGCUCAGCUGGGAGAGCGCUUGCAUGGCAUGCAAGAGGUCAGCGGUUCGAUCCCGCUUAGCUC